This 480-nucleotide ribosomal RNA is filed under the name uncultured Actinomycetes bacterium. RNAcentral describes it as "bacterial SSU rRNA". It matches the Rfam family "Bacterial small subunit ribosomal RNA", at positions 355 to 845 of the family's 1533-position model. Lineage: Bacteria; Bacillati; Actinomycetota; Actinomycetes. The record is from RNAcentral.
UGGGGAAUCUUGCGCAAUGGGCGAAAGCCUGACGCAGCGACACCGCGUGAGGGACGAAGGCCUUCGGGUUGUAAACCUCUUUCGGCAGGGACGAAGCGAAUCGUGACGGUACCUGCAGAAGAAGCUCCGGCUAACUACGUGCCAGCAGCCGCGGUAAGACGUAGGGAGCGAGCGUUGUCCGGAUUCAUUGGGCGUAAAGAGCGCGCAGGCGGCUUGGUAAGUCGGAUGUGAAAACCCGGAGCUCAACUCCGGGCGUGCAUCCGAUACUGCCCGGCUAGAGGUAGGUGGGGAGAUCGGAAUUCCUGGUGUAGCGGUGGAAUGCGCAGAUAUCAGGAGGAACACCGGUGGCGAAGGCGGAUCUCUGGGCCUUACCUGACGCUCAGGCGCGAAAGCUAGGGGAGCGAACAGGAUUAGAUACCCUGGUAGUCCUAGCUGUAAACGUUGGGUGCUAGGUGUGGGUGGACAUCGACCCCAUCCGUG